GAUGAAGAACGUAGCGAAAUGCGAUAAGUAAUGCGAAUUGCAGAAUCCGUGAGUCAUCGAAUCUUUGAACGCACAUUGCGCCCCUUGGUAUUCCAUGGGGCAUGCCUGUUCGAGCGUCAUUUGUACCUUCAAGCUCUGCUUGGUGUUGGGUGUUUGUCUCGCCUCUGCGCGUAGACUCGCCUCAAAACAAUUGGCAGCCGGCGUAUUGAUUUCGGAGCGCAGUACAUCUCGCGCUUUGCACUCAUAACGACGACGUCCAAAAGUACAUUUUUACACUCUUGACCUCGGAUCAGGUAGGGAUACCCGCUGAACUUAAGCAUAUCAAUAAGCGGAGGA
Molecule: unclassified non-coding RNA, 336 nt
Filed under: soil metagenome
Description: partial contains 5.8S ribosomal RNA, internal transcribed spacer 2, and large subunit ribosomal RNA
Rfam family: 5.8S ribosomal RNA (bases 1-119)
Source: RNAcentral